Molecule: non-coding RNA, 82 nt
Organism: Pelobates cultripes (western spadefoot toad)
Lineage: Eukaryota; Metazoa; Chordata; Amphibia; Anura; Pelobatidae
Source: the annotation of a GenBank genome assembly
UAUAGUCCCUGACCACAAAUAUAUGGACAGGGACCACAAAUAUAUAAUCCCUGACCAUAUAUUUGUGGUCAGGGACAAAAAG